AUCUAGCCCCGAUGGGAGUGGAAAUCCUUUUUUUGCUUUAUUUCGACAAGCUCAGCAUGACAAAACUUUAAAAAAAAUUGUAGCGGACAGCGGGACUGAUA
This 101-nucleotide small RNA is filed under the name Flavobacterium aquaticum. Its description in RNAcentral is "Flavo-1 RNA". It matches the Rfam family "Flavo-1 RNA". Lineage: Bacteria; Pseudomonadati; Bacteroidota; Flavobacteriia; Flavobacteriales; Flavobacteriaceae. The record is from RNAcentral.